This 278-nucleotide non-coding RNA is filed under the name Paenibacillus sp. RNAcentral's name for it is "T-box sequence". It matches the Rfam family "T-box leader". From Rfam's summary of the family: Uncharged tRNA acts as the effector for transcription antitermination of genes in the T-box leader family. T-boxes are found upstream of many aminoacyl-tRNA synthetase genes and some amino acid biosynthetic genes usually in Gram-positive bacteria. Lineage: Bacteria; Bacillati; Bacillota; Bacilli; Caryophanales; Paenibacillaceae. The record is from RNAcentral.
AUGUAUUCGAUGACGGGACAAAGUACGAUAAGGUUGUGUUCUCCAGAGAGUCGGCGGUGCUGCGAGCCGAUUGUUCAACCCUUACCGGAAGAUCUUCCCCUAGAAGCUGAGCCGAAGCGAUUCAUUCGUGAGUAGGUUUAUGCCGUCUGCCGGACGUUAUCCCGGACCCGCAUAGCAGGAUUUUGUGCGGAACUGAGAUUGUGCUGUAUUCACUCCCCUUAAGGAUGUGCGUCCAGCACGAAUUAGGGUGGUAUCGCGAGCGUCGUCUCGCCCCUUUG